GGGGGCGAACUGGAUUCGACCGGACAGGUUGAGGCGCUGUGCGGCGUGCCGUGGUUGGUCAGCAGGCCACGUUAAAAGCCGACCACAUCUUCAAUUGCUGAAGAUACUUUCGCUUUGGCUGCCUAAUUAAACGGUAGCCCUGAUCGAGGGCUUUUGGUCGGAGAGGCCCGAAGGUCAGUCGUUAAUUCCGGCUCGCCCCGUUCCAUUGCAGGGUACGGACGGGGUUAAAAAAGUUCCCCGCUGGCUCAACAGGGACCCGGUCGACAGGGGCUCUUCGAGCGAGAACCAAAGAGUCGACUACGCACGUAGAAGCUGGCGCUGAAAUGUUUCGGGACGCGGGUUCGAUUCCCGCCGCCUCCA
Molecule: transfer-messenger RNA, 360 nt
Filed under: Pirellulales bacterium
Lineage: Bacteria; Pseudomonadati; Planctomycetota; Planctomycetia; Pirellulales
Rfam family: transfer-messenger RNA
About the family: Bacterial tmRNA, also known as 10Sa RNA or SsrA, is named for its dual tRNA and mRNA-like properties. Its role is to liberate the mRNA from a stalled ribosome.
Source: RNAcentral